Molecule: ribosomal RNA, 432 nt
Filed under: Bacteroidetes bacterium SCGC AAA027-D22
Lineage: Bacteria; Pseudomonadati; Bacteroidota
Description: bacterial SSU rRNA
Rfam family: Bacterial small subunit ribosomal RNA
Source: RNAcentral
GGAAUAUUGGGCAAUGGACGAAAGUCUGACCCAGCCAUGCCGCGUGAAGGAUGAAGGUCCUCUGGAUUGUAAACUUCUUUUAUCUGGGGCGAAAACCACCCUUUCUAGGGUGCUUGACAGUACCAGAUGAAUAAGCACCGGCUAACUCCGUGCCAGCAGCCGCGGUAAUACGGAGGGUGCAAGCGUUAUCCGGAUUCACUGGGUUUAAAGGGUGCGUAGGCGGGCAGGUAAGUCAGUGGUGAAAUCUUCGAGCUUAACUCGGAAACUGCCGUUGAUACUAUCUGUCUUGAAUAUCGUGGAGGUAAGCGGAAUAUGUCAUGUAGCGGUGAAAUGCUUAGAUAUGACAUAGAACACCAAUUGCGAAGGCAGCUUGCUACACGGUUAUUGACGCUGAGGCACGAAAGCGUGGGGAUCAAACAGGAUUAGAUACCC